This 46-nucleotide non-coding RNA is filed under the name Schistosoma haematobium. Lineage: Eukaryota; Metazoa; Platyhelminthes; Trematoda; Strigeidida; Schistosomatidae. The record is from RNAcentral.
GCACUGCUGAGGAGUCCCAUACCAGGACGCAAUGGCCAUCCAGUGC